GUGGGGAAUAUUGGACAAUGGGCGCAAGCCUGAUCCAGCCAUGCCGCGUGAGUGAUGAAGGCCCUAGGGUUGUAAAGCUCUUUCACCGGUGAAGAUAAUGACGGUAACCGGAGAAGAAGCCCCGGCUAACUUCGUGCCAGCAGCCGCGGUAAUACGAAGGGGGCUAGCGUUGUUCGGAAUUACUGGGCGUAAAGCGCACGUAGGCGGACAUUUAAGUCAGGGGUGAAAUCCCGGGGCCCAACCCCGGAACUGCCUUUGAUACUGGGUGUCUCGAGUCCGGAAGAGGGGAGUGGAAUUCCGAGUGUAGAGGUGAAAUGGGGAGAUAGUCGGGGGAACACCAGUGGCGAAGGCGGCUCACUGGUCCGGUACUGACGCUGAGGUGCGAAAGCGUGGGGAGCAAACAGGAUUAGAAACCCGAGUAGUCC
This 425-nucleotide ribosomal RNA is filed under the name uncultured bacterium. RNAcentral's name for it is "partial 16S ribosomal RNA". It matches the Rfam family "Bacterial small subunit ribosomal RNA", at positions 354 to 796 of the family's 1533-position model. The record is from RNAcentral.